AUACGGAGGGUGCGAGCGUUAAUGGGAAUUACUGGGCGUAAAGCGCGCGUAGGCGGCUUGGUCAGUCGGAUGAGAAAGCCCCGGGCUCAACCUGGGAAUGGCAUUCGAUACUGCCAGGCUAGAGUAUGGGAGAGGGAAGUGGAAUUUCCGGUGUAGCGGUGAAAUGCGUAGAUAUCGGAAGGAACACCAGUGGCGAAGGCGACUUCCUGGCCCAAUACUGACGCUGAGGUGCGAAAGCGUGGGGAGCGAACAGGAUUAGAUACCCCGGUAGUCC
RNAcentral lists this ribosomal RNA (274 nucleotides) under uncultured bacterium. RNAcentral describes it as "partial 16S ribosomal RNA". It matches the Rfam family "Bacterial small subunit ribosomal RNA", at positions 523 to 796 of the family's 1533-position model. The record is from RNAcentral.